RNAcentral lists this ribosomal RNA (465 nucleotides) under uncultured bacterium. RNAcentral's name for it is "partial 16S ribosomal RNA". It matches the Rfam family "Bacterial small subunit ribosomal RNA", at positions 28 to 507 of the family's 1533-position model. The record is from RNAcentral.
GACGAACGCUGGCGGCGUGCUUAACACAUGCAAGUCGAACGGAAAGGCCCCUUUGGGGGUACUCGAGUGGCGAACGGGUGCGUAACACGUGAGUAACCUGCCCCUGACUUCGGGAUAACUUCAGGAAACUGGGGCUAAUACUGGAUAGGAAUCCUUGCUGCAUGGUGGGGGUUGGAAAGCUUCGGCGGUUUUUGAUGGACUCGCGGCUUAUCAGCUUGUUGGUGGGGUAGUGGCUUACCAAGGCUUUGACGGGUAGCCGGCCUGAGGGGGCGACCGGCCACAUUGGGACUGAGGUGCGGCCCAGGCUGCUACGGGGGGGAACAGGGGGGAAUAUUGAACGAUGGGCGGAAGCCGGGUGCAGCAACGCCGCGGGCGGGAAGACGGCCUUCGGGUUGUAAACCGCUUUCAGCAGGGGCGGAGCUUGUGGUGACGGUACCUGCAGAAGAAGCACCGGCUAACUACGUG